RNAcentral lists this ribosomal RNA (484 nucleotides) under uncultured bacterium. Its description in RNAcentral is "partial 16S ribosomal RNA". It matches the Rfam family "Bacterial small subunit ribosomal RNA", at positions 30 to 507 of the family's 1533-position model. The record is from RNAcentral.
AUUGAACGCUGGCGGCAGGCCUAACACAUGUAAGCCGAGCGGACGAAGGGAGCUUGCUCCUGAAUUCAGCGGCGGACGGGUGAGUAAUGCCUAGGAAUGUGACUGGUAGUGGGGGAUAACGUCAGGAAAGGGGCGCUAAUCCCGCAUACGUCCCGUGGGAGCAAGCGGGGGCAGUUCGGCCCUUACGCCACCCGAUGACACUAGGUCGGUUUAGCUCGAUGGUGGGGUAACCGACUAACUAAGCGACGCUCCUUAACUGGCCUGGAAGCAUGAUCAGUCACACUGGAACUGAGGCGCGGUCCAGACUCCUACGAAAGACAGCAAGGUGGAAUAUUGCACCAUGGGCACAAGGCUAAUCCAGCCAUGCCACGUGUGUGAAGAAGGUCUUCGGAUUGUAAAGCACUAUAAAUUGGGAGGAAGAACAGUAAGUUGAUGCCUUGCUGUGUUGACGUUACCAACAGAAUGAGCACCAACCAAGUUCGUG